Molecule: ribosomal RNA, 795 nt
Filed under: Frankliniella occidentalis (western flower thrips)
Lineage: Eukaryota; Metazoa; Arthropoda; Insecta; Thysanoptera; Thripidae
Description: eukaryotic LSU rRNA
Rfam family: Eukaryotic large subunit ribosomal RNA
Source: RNAcentral
GACCUCAGUUCAGUAAGCAUAUUACUAAGCCGAGGAAAAGAAACUAACAAGGAUUCCCCUAGUAGCAGCGAGCGAACAGGGAAGAGCCCAGCGCUGAAUCCCCCGGGCCUCGCUCGGCGGGAAAUGUAGCGUUUGGGAGGGCCCGUCAACACGGCGACUCGCUCACUGGUUCAAGUCCAACUUGAAUGGGGCCACACAGAGGGUGACAGGCCCGUAGAGCAGGAGCGGUUGUCGUGUGGGUCUCUCCUUAGAGUCGGUUUGCUUGAGAGUGCAGACUUAAGUGGGUGGUAAACUCCAUCUAAGGCUAAAUAUGACCACGAGACCGAUAGCACACAAGUACCGUGAGGGAAAGGUGAAAAGAACUUUGAAGAGAGAGUUCAAGAGUACGUGAAACUGAAGUGGUGUAAACGGACGAGUUCGAAAAGUCCGAAUGGUGAGAUUCAAGCUUACCGUGCCGGUGGCCCUCGGGUUCAGAUGGCGUCGUCAGCUCGGGCUUCGGUUCGGGUCAUACGGCGUCACUCGUCCUGGGGGUAUCUGUCUGGUGCGGUGGGCUGCACUUCUCGCCUAGUAGGACGUCGCGACCCGUUGGGAUGUUCCGUUCACUGGCCCUCGGUGGAGCCCGCGCCGGAGCGUGGCCUUGUGCCGCGUUGCUGUUUGCACGGACCCGGGGUGACCUGAUCGGCGCCCGACGGUAUCAAAGCUUGGGAAGAGGCCGCACAGAGGAUGCGUUCGAUGGCCGUUUCGGCCUACACUCGGACAGGCCUGCACCCGGUCAGCGGGCGCUUCUAGCUUUCG